GAUCCUGGCUCAGAUUGAACGCUGGCGGAAUGCUUUACACAUGCAAGUCGAACGGUAGAGGGGGCAACCCCUUGAGAGUGGCGAACGGGUGAGUAAUAUAUCGGAACGUGCCCAGUCGUGGGGGAUAACGUAGCGAAAGUUACGCUAAUACCGCAUACGAUCUAAGGAUGAAAGCGGGGGAUCGCAAGACCUCGCGCGAUUGGAGCGGCCGAUAUCAGAUUAGGUAGUUGGUGGGGUAAAGGCUCACCAAGCCAACGAUCUGUAGCUGGUCUGAGAGGACGACCAGCCACACUGGAACUGAGACACGGUCCAGACUCCUACGGGAGGCAGCAGUGGGGAAUUUUGGACAAUGGACGCAAGUCUGAUCCAGCCAUUCCGCGUGCAGGAUGAAGGCCCUCGGGUUGUAAACUGCUUUUGUACGGAACGAAAAGGUUUGUCUUAAUACGAUGAGCUCAUGACGGUACCGUAAGAAUAAGCACCGGCUAACUACGUG
Molecule: ribosomal RNA, 493 nt
Filed under: uncultured bacterium
Lineage: Bacteria
Description: bacterial SSU rRNA
Rfam family: Bacterial small subunit ribosomal RNA
Source: RNAcentral